Molecule: ribosomal RNA, 497 nt
Filed under: uncultured bacterium
Lineage: Bacteria
Description: partial 16S ribosomal RNA
Rfam family: Bacterial small subunit ribosomal RNA
Source: RNAcentral
GAUGAACGCUGGCGGCGUGCCUAAUACAUGCAAGUCGAGCGGACGGACGAGAAGCUUGCUUCUCUGAUGUUAGCGGCGGACGGGUGAGUAACACGUGGAUAACCUACCUAUAAGGCUGGGAUAACUUCGGGAAACCGUAGCUAAUACCGGAUAAUAUUUUGAACCGCAUGGUUCAAAAGUGAAAGACGGUCUUGCUGUCACUUAUAGAUGGAUCCGCGCUGCAUUAGCUAGUUGGUAAGGUAACAGCUUACCAAGGCAACGAUGCAUAGCCGACCUGAGAGGGUGAUCGGCCACACUGGAACUGAGACACGGUCCAGACUCCUACGGGAGGCAGCAGUAGGGAAUCUUCCGCAAUGGGCGAAAGCCUGACGGAGCAACGCCGCGUGAGUGAUGAAGGUCUUCGGAUCGUAAAACUCUGUUAUUAGGGAAGAACAUAUGUGUAAGUAACUGUGCACAUCUUGACGGUACCUAAUCAGAAAGCCACGGCUAACUACGUG